UGAAAUCACUCCUAUUGACCCCCUGGCAUAUUUAUAGCCUCUCUCUUUCUGCUGAGACUGGUAGUUUUCACCUUCCCUUCCCUGUGUUGUGUUUAUUCAGCAGCACGCUAAAUCACACCCGGGCACAAGUGGAGCAUUCAUCAGGAACCACGAGCCCCUCUUUCAGUCUGCCAAACCUAUCCAAUUACUGGGGCUGGAAGAGCCUGCACAAACCCUUCUGCCAGGCAGGCCUUGCAAAAUUCUAAAGAACAAAGUCCAACCAUCCAAGCAAUAUUUUAAAGAAUGAGAUCUGUGUUAACACUUAAAGACAUUUUCCACGUUGACCUCAUGAACCCCAAAAGAAGGAUGAAAGAAGUCUGGAAUUAAUGAAUUUAGGGAACCUGUAAAACUCCAAAAAUGUUUAAUGCAAAAAUGUGAUAUUUUUGGUAGGAAAUUUCCAUUGCUUUCAACAGAUUUGGGAAGGGACCCAAAAGAUGACUAAAAGCAUCUGCAUUUUAACCAAACUUCCAGAUGAACCUUCUUGCUGUGAUUCAUAAACAUGGCUGUACCUCUAAAUAGACUGGGACUUCCUUUUGGUACUAUGAUCAUCCCUAAUUAUUUCGUCCACUUCAACUCUCCCCAGCUCUGAACGUUCCUUAAUUCCUGGAUGUGACUUCCAAUUAAUUUUGACCCAGGCAGUAUAUUCUACAAUGCUUGACUUCAGGGCUACACUUUCCAGAAAGACCUCAAAUCAGACUUUCAGCUAACUCCCUUGUGGAGAAGGUGAGACAAUGAGAAACAUCUCCAUGCCAGGAGUGCGCAAGAGCUGUCUGCAAAAAGAUGUCUGUUGCAUGACACCAAGCAGCAAGUGUAAUUGAAGGGAAAUGCUCUAUCCAGAUACCAAGAGGACUAGUCACGAGACCAGGCCUCAAAACAGGAAAAUGGUUCCAAUGGAGAAGUAGAGUAUGAGUCAAGAAUUGAGAGAUGAGCAAUAUACAUUAGCAUUAUAAAACACUAAAGAAAGUAUACAUGCCUAGAGCCUCUGAGGCACACUACAAAGAAGAUGACCUGAAAAGUGACUGCUUACAGGGUCCACAUAUAGGUGACAUGAAAGUUCCCUCAGCCUUGUCAGUAUGAAUGAGCCUGUAAAGUGAAGAUGAAUGAGAAAGGGAUUAGAUGAGUCAUCUGAGUCUGUAAGGCCCUUGCAACAAGAGCAUGAAGAUGAUAAAAGAGGACAGAAAGGGAACAAGUUGGGUGAAAAGAAAACAAUGAAUUAGGGUGAAAAGAUCAAGCCAGUGACCAAACUCUCUACAACUAGAAAAGACUUAUCAGUUUCUCAAAGUACUUAUUCAUAGGUAAUUAGUCUUUUGGUAAGCAAAUUACUACUUGUUUAACGUUCCAGUUAAGAAGCCAAAUAAGAUAUCAUUUACAUCAAAAAUGAAAAAAUAAGGGGGCAUCUACUUUCUAUAAUAACGACCUGGGAAACUCAGACCAUCCUUCCUUCUGAGGACGCUGAAAAAAACUGAAUCCAAGAACUAACAACAUAUUAAGGAACUGCCAGGUGGUGACCCAGCAUGCUAAGAACACAGCAAGGAAUUCGAAGUUGUUUUAACAUUAGAAAAUCAACUGAUGUGAUUCAGCACAUUUACUGAAUAUUAUGAUGACCUGGGCAGAGUCGGUAGUGGCUAUAUGCAUACUGGCUUUGUAAUCGUUGCUUAAGCCGUAUUUGUGCUGUGCAUUUUUUAUUAACUCCUAUGCAUCGCCAGGACCCUGAAGGUGUCAUACUCUUCCUGACAGGACCUACCAGCUUGACGGAGAGCUCUAUCCCCAUUUCCUAAAGAAGAAACCUGAUCCUUGGAAAUGUUCAGUGGCUGCCCCAAGACUUCAUAGAGUACACAAAUGCUGUGAAGCACAGGCAGCCAGAGUUCAUGAAGAGGGUGUUGAACAGCGACCAGACGACAUGGUCAGGCAUGGAGGUCUCACUGUGGAAGUGGAUCAUGGUGGACAUCGGGGGAGCAGGGUUUUGGGGCGCCCCCACCACAGCCACCUUAUGCUCCUCCUUGAGCAUCUCAUAAUUGCGGGGGUGGCCGCUGUUGGCAGGAGUGAAGAAGGUUUGGAAAGUGGAUGUCGGCACAACCUCUUGUGCUCUUGCCUCCUGCCACAAGAACAUAUGUCCCAGAAAAGGGCCACUCCAUCAGCCUAGGUCCAGAAAUGAGAGGACACAUGGACUGAACUUGAAGAUGGCCCACAGCAGACCUGCAGUCAACUCUCAGCCUUUAUGUAAUGCGGGAAAGAAGGAAAUGUGAAUAUUAUAGACUACUAAAAUUCUAAAGUUGUAACAUAGCAAAAUGAUCGAUACAAUUAGCAGUGGCAAUCAGUCUAGCAUAUUGUCAUGCUAUAUGCAUGCUAUAAAACUAUUGAACAAAAAUAUCACUAUCCUAUCAUGGACACAUUGGACUUUUCUUUUCUCCUUAUGACUGCAUCACGUGUGAUGAUCAGAAAUGGAGUGAAGACAGAAAAAUAAGAAAAUUCAAGAAUGUGCUACAGAGUGAUCCUCUCCCUCUUAGAGCACCCACAGAAACCACUCAUGGCUUCUCUGUCUGCAUCCUCUCCACACAAACAUAUUCUUUAAGGUACCAGCCCCAUAUCACAUACCUGUAUGUCAGCCCAUAAUAGGCCUUACCUUAGAAGCCAAAGAUCCAUAACUACACAGUAUUCAUGUUGUAUAAUGUGGAGCAGCACCAAAAAAUAAAGUGGCAGACAAUAAUGCCUAUGACUAAAGUGACCCCUUGAUCCCCUCCCAAAGCAGUCUCCAUAUCAUAACUGUCAAUUGUAAAAAUAGUAUGUAUUUUAUAUAUUCUCCCUAAUAGGUAACUCUGUAUUUUAAAAUCUUAGGCUCCAAGUUUUAAUCUACUUCGUCCCAUCGGAGUACUUUUUUUCAAUUUUCUCAUUUACAAGGCCAUUUUUAUUUUUGCCUCACUCUGUGCUGAUGGCCCCAGAUCUACUCAGUCAGUUUCUUCUCUUCUAUGAUGUCUAUAUUCAGACACCUAGGAGAUUGACAACUCCUAGAAAUACCACUCACUCAACUGCUCCUUUCCCCUUCUUUCGUACUUGGGCAUAAACUUUACUGUAUCUUAAACACAUCUUCCUAAAUGCCUCACGACUAUGAUAAACUUGACAUGCUUACAACU
Molecule: long non-coding RNA, 3170 nt
Filed under: Homo sapiens (human)
Lineage: Eukaryota; Metazoa; Chordata; Mammalia; Primates; Hominidae
Description: long non-coding RNA NONHSAT217126.1
Source: RNAcentral